GUCAAAAGUCUAGAAUUUUAAAUAAAUGAAUCAUACACUAAAUAUGCAUCAUCUUUUGAAACUCAGUGCCUAUGAGUAAAUCUCGAUGAUCAUAACACAUUACUCAACAAAGCAGACCAUAAUAAAGAAGAUAUCAGAACACAUGGAGCAAAAGACAGUAAGUUUGGGACUCAACCAUUCAACUAAUCUUUAAUGAAUACACACCAGAUGCCAAGCUCCAACUCAGGUCCUGGGACACAGCAAGAAGAAGACACAAAAGAUCCCUGUUCUCGUGAAGCUUAUGUUCUAGGAGGGUGAGACAGAAAAUAAGUACAUGAGAAAAGUACAAGCUAGUGAAUUGAACAGUGCAAAAAAUUAGCAUAGGGUAGGAGGGAAAUACUUGAGAUGGGCAGGUCAUCUAGGAAGGUCACUCUGGAGAGGUGCCAUUUAAGCUGAGAUCUGAAUGAUGUCCAGGAGCCAGUCAGCAGCAUUCCAGGACAAGAGAGCAGCUGUCGCCAAGACCCCAAGACACAAAGGAACAAGCUUCUGGGUCGAGAAAGGCCAAGUUGCACACUACUGAGAGACUGCCAUGCACCCCCUGGAGGCCUCAGAACAUUCGACAUGCUUCAGUCAUGGCCACGGCAGUGACUGCUGAUUGCCUAACCCCACAUGUGUUCUCCCCCUUCCCUGAUAAUCAAGCCCCUGAUUUUCAGCUGGGCACAAAAUAAUUCUUCCUAGAACAACUCCAUGUGUGUUAUCGCCCUUGCAGCUGGGGGUGGCCACCACUGGGGAGAGGCAGGGUGAAGAGGUGGAAGGAGCCUGAGUUAGCAGGGAUGAGCAGUGGCCAGGUAACCCCAGACCCACUAUCCUCUGGAUUUCUUUUAUGUGAA
Molecule: long non-coding RNA, 869 nt
Filed under: Homo sapiens (human)
Lineage: Eukaryota; Metazoa; Chordata; Mammalia; Primates; Hominidae
Description: HSALNT0305102
Source: RNAcentral